GCCGUGGUGGUGUAACGGUAGCACACUCGACUUGUAUUUGAGCAAUCCAGGUUCGAGCCCCGGCGAGAGCA
This 71-nucleotide transfer RNA is filed under the name Stegodyphus mimosarum. It matches the Rfam family "tRNA". From Rfam's summary of the family: Transfer RNA (tRNA) molecules are approximately 80 nucleotides in length. Their secondary structure includes four short double-helical elements and three loops (D, anti-codon, and T loops). Further hydrogen bonds mediate the characteristic L-shaped molecular structure. tRNAs have two regions of fundamental functional importance: the anti-codon, which is responsible for specific mRNA codon recognition, and the 3' end, to which the tRNAs corresponding amino acid is attached (by aminoacyl-tRNA synthetases). tRNAs cope with the degeneracy of the genetic code in two manners: having more than one tRNA (with a specific anti-codon) for a particular amino acid; and 'wobble' base-pairing, i.e. permitting non-standard base-pairing at the 3rd anti-codon position. Lineage: Eukaryota; Metazoa; Arthropoda; Arachnida; Araneae; Eresidae. The record is from Rfam by way of RNAcentral.